Molecule: long non-coding RNA, 3216 nt
Organism: Carassius gibelio (silver crucian carp)
Lineage: Eukaryota; Metazoa; Chordata; Actinopteri; Cypriniformes; Cyprinidae
Exons: 4
Source: RefSeq, a predicted model, not a curated record
AGUGGUUUGGACUAAUUCCUCAGCAAAUCUGCAGGACUCCUGAUGUGAAGACAGUGCCAGAAGUCUCCAACAGAGGGCCUACAGCAAGAGAAUCCUCCCAACCAAAACUAAGUACCUACUGCCAUCUAUUGUCAUUAUUAUAAUCUGCAGUUCUGUGCUCAAAACUACAUGUACUGCUUACAAAAUGAGCACUAGAUGACGCCAUCCUACCAUUAAUCAAUCAUGAGUGUAAACGUCAUUGGUUUUCCUGAACGACCUGCUUGGAUUAACUUGGAUAUAGUCAUUGUGUGAAAAUACCUCAUGUUCUUAUGCAUUCUUACUUUUAUAACAAAAUAACUGUAAUAUGCAGUGGUUUUUUAUGAUAUUAUACUGCUUUUUAUGAUUAGCAUUGUUUAGAUCACCCUCUACAUAUAACACAAAUUCUACACACGCACUUAUUUGAAUAAUUGUAACAUUUUAAUUAUUUUUAAUAUAAUUAAAUUAGAAUAACAUAUAUAGUUUUUAAUUUCGGACACAUUUAUUUAUUUCAGACACUGUUAUUUUUAUUAUUAUUAUUUCUAGCCUACAUAAUUUAUGUAUGUCUGUAUACACUAUAUAUUUAUUUAACUGUUUAUUUUAAUAUUAUUAUGUUGUUAUAAUAUUAUUCGCUAAACUUUUUGGUGAUUGUGUCUUUGUUUUGUCUUCCUUUCAGAGUUGCUGAUUAUUUUUUGAUUCCUUUUUAUUUGCAUACAUUUAAAUGGGUUCAUGUGUAUAUACAGUACACUGUAUAUGUACAGUAUAUAUGCAAUAUAAUAGAGCACAUACACUUAAAGGUCAAACAUUCUAUUUUAGUUUUUAAAUUUUAAGUUGUGAAGAAGUUAAUAAAAGCACCUCAAAUUACAUAAGAAUAUGAGUUUGUAUACAUGACAAAUCAGAUUUUGUUGCAAGCAAAAAAAUAAAUUCACAGCAGCUACAACAGACUUGCAGACUUCCAGGAGACAUAGUUGAGGGUUCAGAUGCAGUGAUAGAUCUAUAUGUGAGGCUUAUGCUUACUAUGGGGAAGUUGUGGCCUAGUGGUUAGAGAGUUUGACUCUUAACACUAGGGUUGUGGGUUUGAAUCUCAGGCUGGCAAUAGCAUGACUGAGAUGCCCUUGAGCAAGGCACCGAACCUCCAACUGCUCCCUGGGUGCUGCAGCAUUACUGGCUGCCCACUGCUCUGGGUGUGUGUUCACUGCUGUGUGUGUGCACUUUGGAUGGGUUAAAUGCAGAGCAUGAAUUCUGAGUAUGGGUCACCAUACUUGGCUGAAUGUCACAUCACUUCCACUUUAUAAUAAAUCUAAGUAUGAGUAAAUUUGAUGCAGGCAGCUGGGCUGAAAGCCAGCGGAGGGAGACAAGGAGAGCUGCAACAAAACUCAGGGGGAAAAGAUAAUAUUCAAUAAUUCAGCUAAUUAUUGUAGAUAAAAAUUCCAAAGCCUUGACAAAAUUUACUGCGCUGAAGACUACACACAGAUUUAGUAGACUGAGAGCAGAGGGUCUAGUAUGACAUGAUCCUGAAUGCAUGCAUUUAUUGCACGAAAGGAACAUCUAUUAGAUUCAUUCAUUUAUUUAAAAAACAAAACCAGAGCUUCUUCACUUUGCUUUUACAAAUUCAGAGAAACGCUUUGGAGAAUCACCUGUUGUGCACCUAUUAAGAAUACUGAAGGGAUCAUCAGCCAGUGGUUGUGCAUGUGUGAUAUUAUCAAAAUGCAUCGUAUUUUGAAAUGUGUUAGUAGCCUAUUACACGUAGGCCUAAUAUUCAUUUACAAGUUAUAUAAAAUGUGUUGUUUUGUUGUGGCCAGGUGAAGCAACAUCAUUUGACCCUUAUAGAAAAUAAUCAAACAUUACCCAAAAUAAAGAAUAUACUGUGUACUGUAAUAAUUAUACUCAAUCAAUUUAGCAUGAAAACACAUGUUAUACAUUAUAUGCAAAUAACAAUGUGAUUCAUUAUUACAUUAUUAUUAUUACUACACUAUUAUUGUGCUGAUUGCAAUGUAUCCCACAUUUCUGUUAAAAGAACAGAAUAGGCUAUACCUACAGUAAAAACUGCUUGUUGGGAAUUUGAGAAAUAACCUUGGAUGAAAGCAUUCUGAACGCAAGGUGGUGCUGUUGCCUUUAAUAUGAAGUCGAAAUAUUCAGCUUCAACAGACAUGGCGAUAUGAGCUCGGUGUCAUCUAAAGGUUUUGGAUCCUGUCAUUGUCUUCAACCGGAGCGGAUCACCUCAGUUUUUCAGUUGUGGAAGAGGAAGAUGCAAUACGCUCUCCAAGGCUAUAGAUUGGAUAAAUAUAAAUGGGCCAGAGGUGUUUGGCUUUUACCUGCACACCCACUGAAGAAAGUAGCGUUUAGCCUGGACAACCUGCUGGAUUGAGGCCUGGAUUGAAGGUUAAAUUCUUCCUGGCUAAAGUAAUCCAUUCAGCACCUUCUAGUAGUGAAGCUAUUCCCUACACAUUUGGCCGGCUAACCACUGGAAUAUACUGGGCACAGUAAUACCUGACAGAGUCUGAUACAGCAGCAGAAGACGACUCCAGAUCCACACUUUCAUCAUUACGGAGUCUGAUGGACAGAUGUGGAUGAGGAUGCUCAGCUCUCAUGACAUAAUUAGAAGACUCAACAAUCAGCAACAGAAACUCAUGAACAUAUGAACAGGACAGACAGAGUGGUGUGGAUUCCUUCACGUUUAAACUACAGAUGUUUUAUUUGGUCUGAUGACAAUCCAAUUAGAUUCACCUGCAAAUAUGACAAAUAAUCAAGCAAUGUAAUGGCUUAUCUUUAGAAUAAAAAAAAAAAAUGGGCAUGUUUUUGAUUUAUAAAAUGUGUAUGACUAGCAGUGCUCACAUUAAUUGAUGAUAAACUCUAAAACAGAAUGAUUCUUUUGGACAAUUAGCUAUGUGGAAAAUAUACAAUGUUAAAGUACUGUACCAAAAGUUUUAAAUAUCUUUACACUGGUUUAUGUACAGUUUCCAGUUAUCUUAAUAAUCAUUUUUCCUUUAUUUACUCAUUGGUACAUCUUUGUAAUGUUUUUACUAAUUAGGGAAAGUUGUGGCCUAGUGGUUAGAAUUUGAUAGGGUUGUGGGUUUGAGUCUUGGGCCAGCAGUACCAUGACUGAGGUGUCCUUGAGCAAGGCACUGAACCCCCAACUGCUCCAUAACUGGCUGCCCACUGCUCCGGUGCGUGUUCACUGCUGUGUGUGUGUGUGCACUU